This 126-nucleotide small RNA is filed under the name Marmota monax (woodchuck). Lineage: Eukaryota; Metazoa; Chordata; Mammalia; Rodentia; Sciuridae. The record is from RNAcentral.
GCCGGGUGUGGUGGUGCACGCCUGUAAUCCCAGCAGCUCAGGAGGCUGAGGCAGGAGGAUCAUGAGUUCAGAGCCAGCCUCAGCAACAACCAAGGCCCUAAGCAACUCAGUGAGACCCUGUCUCUA